RNAcentral lists this transfer RNA (162 nucleotides) under Verticillium longisporum. RNAcentral's name for it is "Verticillium dahliae var. longisporum tRNA". It matches the Rfam family "tRNA". From Rfam's summary of the family: Transfer RNA (tRNA) molecules are approximately 80 nucleotides in length. Their secondary structure includes four short double-helical elements and three loops (D, anti-codon, and T loops). The record is from Rfam by way of RNAcentral. Lineage: Eukaryota; Fungi; Ascomycota; Sordariomycetes; Glomerellales; Plectosphaerellaceae.
GGGCGGGUGGUCUAGUGGUAUGACGCCCAGACACUGGAGACCCUAAAGCAGUCUUGUUCGGGGAGCCAAAAAAAAAACAAAUGACACGUAAAAAAAAGAAAAGCAGUCGCAGUCCAGGGUCAGUGUCUUCGGGAGACCCAGGUUCGAAUCCUGGCCCGCCCA